AAGGAUUUUGGACUGUGUUUUGCAAUGAUAUUGAAUGUUCUAAUCAUGCUGUAAAAAAUUGCAGUUGGAGCUUUUACGCACUAUCUCAAGGAAGCUUCUACUAGCAGCCGAAACUCAAUCUCAGGAUUCCUCUCCACUACUGCUAUAUGUAUCGACCAUGUUCAAUGGCAUUUUGGGUUUCGCUUAUUUAGGCCUGGGAAUAAGUAUUAUUGUUGAGAAACUUAAAAAAGAUAAUACCAUUUUUCCAGUGCAUGAAUCGUUAGUAAUGUCAUUCCAUGGAUUCACAUGGUUGCUGCUGAAUCUAACAGUAAUACAGCAGAAAUUAUUCCUCUCUCAAAUUGCAGCUCUGAAGUUUUGUUCGAUUAUCACCUUUUUUUUGUCCGGAUUUAUCGGUUUUUCAUAUCUUUGGGAAGCUAUUAUGG
Jatropha curcas is the source of this 422-nucleotide non-coding RNA. The record is from RefSeq and is a predicted model, not a curated record. Lineage: Eukaryota; Viridiplantae; Streptophyta; Magnoliopsida; Malpighiales; Euphorbiaceae.